This 1130-nucleotide ribosomal RNA is filed under the name Pterosperma cristatum. RNAcentral's name for it is "bacterial SSU rRNA". It matches the Rfam family "Bacterial small subunit ribosomal RNA". The record is from RNAcentral. Lineage: Eukaryota; Viridiplantae; Chlorophyta; Pyramimonadophyceae; Pyramimonadales; Pterospermataceae.
UAAGUGGCGGACGGGUGAGUAAUGCAUAAAAAUCUGCCCUUUGGCUAGGAAUAACGAUUGGAAACGAUUGCUAAGACCUAAUAUGCUGAGAAGUGAAACAAAGGAUGAGUUUAUGUCUGAUUAGCUAGUUGGUGAGAUAAAAGCUCACCAAGGCAACGAUCAGUAGCUGGUUUGAGAGGAUGAUCAGCCACAUUGGGACUGAGACACGGCCCAAACUCCUACGGGAGGCAGCAGUAAGGAAUUUUCCGCAAUGGGCGCAAGCCUGACGGAGCAAUACCGCGUGAAGGAAGACGGUCCAUGGACUGUAAACUUCUUUUGAUAGAAAUGAAGUUCUGACAAUUAUCUAAUAGAAAAAGCAUCGGCUAACUCCGUGCCAGCAGCCGCGGUAAUACGGGGGAUGCAAGCGUUAUCCGGAAUGAUUGGGCGUAAAGCGUCUGUCGGUGGGUUAGAAGUCUGUACGUAAAUCGUAAAGCUCACUUACUAAGCUACAGAAACUCUAGUAGCUAACGCGUAAGUUCCGCUGGGAGUACGAUCGCNAGNUGAACUCAAGGAUUGACGGGGCCCAUCAACCGGUGGACAUGUGGUUAAUUCGAUGGCACGCGAAGAACCUUACCAAGGUUUGAAAUCAGCGCUUGACGAUAAGAAAGUUGUGUCUUUUAUGGCGUUGACAGGUGGUGCAUGGCUGUCGUCAGCUCGUGUCGUGAGAUGUUGCGUUAAGUCGCGCAACGAGCGCACCCUUGUCGAUUUGUUAUGAUAAACGAACGAGACUGCCAAUGAUACAUUGGAGGAAGGAGAGGACGACGUCAAGUCAUCAUGCCCCUUACACCUUGGGCUACACACGUGUUACAAUGGCCAGGACAAUGAGCAGCUACCCUGUAAAGGCAAGCGAAUCUCAAAAACCUGGUCUCAGUUCGGAUUGAGGGCUGAAACUCGCCCUCAUGAAGUCGGAAUCGGUAGUAAUCCCGGGUCAGCCAUACCGGGGUGAAUACGACCCUGGGCCUUGUACACACCGCCCGUCACACCAUGGAAAUUGGCCAGACCCGAAGUCAUUUUCUGAACCUUUUUGGACAGAGAUGCCUAAGGUCGGGCUGGUAGCUGGGGUGAAGUCGUAAUCAGGUAGCCNUCCAGGG